This is a long non-coding RNA of Leptidea sinapis, 416 nucleotides long. RefSeq lists it as uncharacterized. The transcript has 3 exons. The record is from RefSeq and is a predicted model, not a curated record. NCBI's taxonomy places the organism in Eukaryota, Metazoa, Arthropoda, Insecta, Lepidoptera, Pieridae.
GUUGACCAGAAGUUUAAAUAACAUGAUUUUUGAACACAGGAAAUCUUCAAGAUGCACAUUAGCCGUUCUUCUUCUGUGCCUUAUAGCUACCGUGUUGGCAAAACCCCAAAGUUAUGAAGAUCAAGAGGAUCGAAACGAUUUUGGAUCUCAAGAUGAAGUACCUAGAGUCCAGAUCAAGGUUUAUAGAGGACCAACGAAGCAUGAUGGGUUCGCGCCGUGGGGGUUCUGGGUGAAGCAACCAUCAGAUGACUGACCUAAACUCAUAAGUUAAUUAUUUUAAAUAUAGUACAUAGAUACUUUAUUGUUAAACUUAUACUGUAAGGCAAAUUAAUUUGUAUGUUAAAUUAUUAUUUAAUGUAUUGGCCAAUGUUGUCUGACCGAGUAACAUUAUUAAUUAUACCUAAGGAUCCAACUUA